Molecule: RNA transcript, 1039 nt
Organism: Felis catus (domestic cat)
Lineage: Eukaryota; Metazoa; Chordata; Mammalia; Carnivora; Felidae
Gene name: glutathione S-transferase A4-like
Exons: 9
Source: RefSeq, a predicted model, not a curated record
UUAAUAGCAUUCCAGACUCACCGUCAUUCACCCCCCACCAUCACAACCCUCAUCUCCUCCUUGGAGGUAACCACAAUCCUGCUUCUAUGAUCAUUGUUUUCUUGCUUUUCUUACUUUUCUUAUUUUGCCCUUCAGAAAACCCUGAGCCAGGAGUCAUGACAACCAAGCCCAAGCUCUGCUACUUUUGUGGCAGGGGCAGGAUGGAGUCGAUCCGCUGGCUGCUGGCUGCAGCUGGAGUGGAGUUUGAAGAAGAAUUUAUUGAAACAACAGAACAAUAUGAGAAGUUGCAGAAGGACGGACGCCUGCUAUUUGGCCAAGUGCCUAUGGUUGAAAUUGAUGGAAUGGUGCUGACACAGACUAGAGCCAUCCUCAGCUACCUUGCUGCCAAGUACGACUUGUAUGGGAAGGACCUGAAGGAGACAGUCAGGAUCAACAUGUACGCUGACGGCACCCUGGACCUCAUGAUGAUGACCGCGCAGGCUGCGUUCAAACCCUCUGAGGAAAAAGAGGAGAAUCUUACUUUAAUCGUGAAGAAAGCUAAAACCCGUUACUUCCCCGCCUUUGAAAAGAUUUUGAAUGACCACGGAGAGGAUUUUCUCGUUGGCAACAAAUUCAGUUGGGCAGACAUACAACUGUUGGAAGCUAUUUUAAUGGUGGAAGAACUCGAUGCUUCUGUUCUUUCUGACUUCCCUCUACUGAAGUCCGAAGAGAAAUUUAUAGAAACUCCAAGAAGACUUGGGGAACUUAAAGAAUGAUGGAAGUCUGUAAGUUCCAGGGAUAUUUUAGGUGAAGACUUGAGAAAUGCAAACAAGGCCAGAGUUGGGCAACUGCAUAUGGACGGAGUGUGGAACUUGUGCUGUGGAAAAUAAUUGGAAAACCUGCUGACGUUGGGCACAUAAACAGGACAGAUAUGUACACAGAAGGUAUGGCAGAUUUGAAUGAAAUGAUCCUCGUUUUGCCUCUGUGUCCACCUGAUCAGAAAGAGGCCAAGAUUGCCCAGAUCAAAGAGAAAGUAACAGAUCGUUAUCUCCCCGUGUUU